RNAcentral lists this ribosomal RNA (253 nucleotides) under uncultured bacterium. Its description in RNAcentral is "partial 16S ribosomal RNA". It matches the Rfam family "Bacterial small subunit ribosomal RNA", at positions 524 to 776 of the family's 1533-position model. The record is from RNAcentral.
UACGGAGGGUGCAAGCGUUAUCCGGAUUCACUGGGUUUAAAGGGUGUGUAGGCGGACUUUUAAGUCCGUGGUGAAAUCUCCGGGCUCAACCCGGAAACUGCCAUGGAUACUAUUGGUCUUGAAUGUUGUUGAGGUGGGCGGAACGGGUCAUGUAGCGGUGAAAUGCAUAGAUAUGACCCGGAACACCGAUUGCGAAGGCAGCCCACUAAGCAAUGAUUGACGCUGAGGCACGAAAGCGUGGGGAUCAAACAGG